UGGGGAAUUUUGGACAAUGGGGGAAACCCUGAUCCAGCCAUCCCGCGUGUGCGAUGAAGGCCUUCGGGUUGUAAAGCACUUUUGGCAGGAAAGAAACGUCAUGGGUUAAUACCCCGUGAAACUGACGGUACCUGCAGAAUAAGCACCGGCUAACUACGUGCCAGCAGCCGCGGUAAUACGUAGGGUGCAAGCGUUAAUCGGAAUUACUGGGCGUAAAGCGUGCGCAGGCGGUUCGGAAAGAAAGAUGUGAAAUCCCAGAGCUCAACUUUGGAACUGCAUUUUUAACUACCGGGCUAGAGUGUGUCAGAGGGAGGUGGAAUUCCGCGUGUAGCAGUGAAAUGCGUAGCUAUGCGGAGGAACACCGAUGGCGAAGGCAGCCUCCUGGGAUAACACUGACGCUCAUGCACGGAAGCGUGGGGAGCAAACAGG
RNAcentral lists this ribosomal RNA (429 nucleotides) under Acidobacteriota bacterium. Its description in RNAcentral is "Acidobacteria bacterium partial 16S ribosomal RNA". It matches the Rfam family "Bacterial small subunit ribosomal RNA", at positions 355 to 776 of the family's 1533-position model. The record is from RNAcentral. Lineage: Bacteria; Pseudomonadati; Acidobacteriota.